This 378-nucleotide ribosomal RNA is filed under the name uncultured eukaryote. Its description in RNAcentral is "partial 18S ribosomal RNA". It matches the Rfam family "Eukaryotic small subunit ribosomal RNA", at positions 592 to 976 of the family's 1831-position model. The record is from RNAcentral.
CAAUAGCGUAUAUUUAAGUUGUUGCAGUUAAAAAGCUCGUAGUUGGAUUUCGGGUGGGACGCAGCGGUCUCGCAUUGCGUUUGUACUGCUGCAGCCCUCCUUCUUGCCGGGGGCGGCCUCUCGGACUUCACUGUCUGGGGGUCAGAAUCGGCGAUGUUACUUUGAGUAAAUUAGAGUGUUCAAAGCAAGCUUACGCUCUGAAUAUAAUAGCAUGGGAUAACACGACAGGACUCUGGCCUAUCGUGUUGGUCUAUAGGACCAGAGUAAUGAUUAAGAGGGACAGUCGGGGGCAUUCGUAUUCCGUUGUCAGAGGUGAAAUUCUUGGAUUUACGGAAGACGGACAUCUGCGAAAGCAUUUGCCAAGGAUGUUUUCAUUGA